RNAcentral lists this unclassified non-coding RNA (220 nucleotides) under plant metagenome. Its description in RNAcentral is "partial contains small subunit ribosomal RNA, internal transcribed spacer 1, and 5.8S ribosomal RNA". The record is from RNAcentral.
UUUCCGUAGGUGAACCUGCGGAAGGAUCAUUACAGAGUUCAUGCCCUUACGGGUAGAUCUCCCACCCUUGAAAUUUGUACCUUUGUUGCUUUGGCGGGCCGCGGCCUCCGCUACCGGCUUCGGUUGGUACGUGCCCGCCAGAGGACCCAACUCUUGUUUUUAGUGAUGUCUGAGUACUAUAUAAUAGUUAAAACUUUCAACAACGGAUCUCUUGGUUCUG